This 133-nucleotide non-coding RNA is filed under the name Sarcina ventriculi. Its description in RNAcentral is "Bacterial small subunit ribosomal RNA". It matches the Rfam family "Bacterial small subunit ribosomal RNA", at positions 1388 to 1520 of the family's 1533-position model. The record is from Rfam by way of RNAcentral. Lineage: Bacteria; Bacillati; Bacillota; Clostridia; Eubacteriales; Clostridiaceae.
CACCGCCCGUCACACCAUGAGAGUUGGCAAUACCCGAAGUCCGUAAGCUAACCGUAAGGAGGCAGCGGCCGAAGGUAGGGUCAGCGAUUGGGGUGAAGUCGUAACAAGGUAGCCGUAGGAGAACCUGCGGCUG